This 467-nucleotide ribosomal RNA is filed under the name uncultured bacterium. RNAcentral describes it as "partial 16S ribosomal RNA". It matches the Rfam family "Bacterial small subunit ribosomal RNA", at positions 28 to 507 of the family's 1533-position model. The record is from RNAcentral.
GACGAACGCUGGCGGCGUGCUUAACACAUGCAAGUCAGGGGGCGGGGUAACCCGUCACCGGCGAACGGGUGCGGCACACGUGUGCGACCUGCGCUGGUGUGGGGGCUAGCCGGCCCAAUGGCCGGGUAAUACCGCAUACGCCGCCCGCUUGGAAGCGGGAGGCGAAACUCGCAAGAGGCGCUAGGAGGGGCUCGCGGCCUAUCAGCGAGUUGGUGCGGUAACGGCGCACCAAGGCGAUGACGGGUAGCUGGUCUGAGAAGAUGGCCAGCGACCUUGGGACGGCGAGACGGCCCAGAGUCCUACGGGAGGCAGCAGUGGGGAAUAUUGCGCAAUGGGCGAAAGCCUGACGCAGCGACGCCGCGUGGAGGAUGAGGCCCUUCGGGGUGUAAACUCCGGUUGCCCGGGACGAAGGCCCCGCAUCGGCGGGGAUGACGGUACCGGGUGAGGAAGCACCGGCUAACUCUGUG